UUCGGGGGGUACACGAGCGGCGAACGGGUGAGUAACACGUGGGUGACCUGCCCUCAGCUCUGGGAUAAGCCUGGGAAACUGGGUCUAAUACCGGAUAUGACCUCUUGCCGCAUGGUGGGUGGUGGAAAGUUUUUCGGCUGGGGAUGGGCCUGCGGCCUAUCAGCUUGUUGGUGGGGUGAUGGCUUACCAAGGCGACGACGGGUAGCCGGCCUGAGAGGGCGUCCGGCCACACUGGGACUGAGACACGGCCCAGACUCCUACGGGAGGCAGCAGUGGGGAAUAUUGCGCAAUGGGCGGAAGCCUGACGCAGCGACGCCGCGUGGGGGAUGACGGCCUUCGGGUUGUAAACCUCUUUCGCCAGGGACGAAGCGUGAGUGACGGUACCUGGAUAAGAAGCACCGGCCAACUACGUGCCAGCAGUCGCGGUAAUACGUAGGGUGCGAGCGUUGUCCGGAAUUAUUGGGCGUAAAGAGCUCGUAGGCGGUGUGUCGCGUCGGUCGUGAAAACCUGCAGCUUAACUGUGGGCUUGCGGUCGAUACGGGCAUCACUGGAGUUCGGCAGGGGAGACUGGAAUUCCUGGUGUAGCGGUGUAAUGCGCAGAUAUCAGGAGGAACACCGGUGGCGAAGGCGGGUCUCUGGGCCGAUACU
RNAcentral lists this ribosomal RNA (648 nucleotides) under uncultured bacterium. Its description in RNAcentral is "bacterial SSU rRNA". It matches the Rfam family "Bacterial small subunit ribosomal RNA", at positions 79 to 741 of the family's 1533-position model. The record is from RNAcentral.